This 1252-nucleotide ribosomal RNA is filed under the name Alexandrium minutum. RNAcentral's name for it is "partial Bacterial small subunit ribosomal RNA". It matches the Rfam family "Bacterial small subunit ribosomal RNA", at positions 11 to 1245 of the family's 1533-position model. The record is from RNAcentral. Lineage: Eukaryota; Dinophyceae; Gonyaulacales; Pyrocystaceae.
GUUUGAUCCUGGCUCAGGACGAACGCUGGCGGCGUGCCUAAUACAUGCAAGUCGAGCGGACCGACGGGAGCUUGCUCCCUUGGGUCAGCGGCGGACGGGUGAGUAACACGUGGGUAACCUGCCUGUAAGACUGGGAUAACUCCGGGAAACCGGGGCUAAUACCGGAUGCUUGAUUGAACCGCAUGGUUCAAUCAUAAAAGGUGGCUUUUAGCUACCACUUACAGAUGGACCCGCGGCGCAUUAGCUAGUUGGUGAGGUAACGGCUCACCAAGGCGACGAUGCGUAGCCGACCUGAGAGGGUGAUCGGCCACACUGGGACUGAGACACGGCCCAGACUCCUACGGGAGGCAGCAGUAGGGAAUCUUCCGCAAUGGACGAAAGUCUGACGGAGCAACGCCGCGUGAGUGAUGAAGGUUUUCGGAUCGUAAAACUCUGUUGUUAGGGAAGAACAAGUACCGUUCGAAUAGGGCGGCACCUUGACGGUACCUAACCAGAAAGCCACGGCUAACUACGUGCCAGCAGCCGCGGUAAUACGUAGGUGGCAAGCGUUGUCCGGAAUUAUUGGGCGUAAAGCGCGCGCAGGCGGUUUCUUAAGUCUGAUGUGAAAGCCCCCGGCUCAACCGGGGAGGGUCAUUGGAAACUGGGGAACUUGAGUGCAGAAGAGGAGAGUGGAAUUCCACGUGUAGCGGUGAAAUGCGUAGAGAUGUGGAGGAACACCAGUGGCGAAGGCGACUCUCUGGUCUGUAACUGACGCUGAGGCGCGAAAGCGUGGGGAGCGAACAGGAUUAGAUACCCUGGUAGUCCACGCCGUAAACGAUGAGUGCUAAGUGUUAGAGGGUUUCCGCCCUUUAGUGCUGCAGCAAACGCAUUAAGCACUCCGCCUGGGGAGUACGGUCGCAAGACUGAAACUCAAAGGAAUUGACGGGGGCCCGCACAAGCGGUGGAGCAUGUGGUUUAAUUCGAAGCAACGCGAAGAACCUUACCAGGUCUUGACAUCCUCUGACAACCCUAGAGAUAGGGCUUCCCCUUCGGGGGCAGAGUGACAGGUGGUGCAUGGUUGUCGUCAGCUCGUGUCGUGAGAUGUUGGGUUAAGUCCCGCAACGAGCGCAACCCUUGAUCUUAGUUGCCAGCAUUCAGUUGGGCACUCUAAGGUGACUGCCGGUGACAAACCGGAGGAAGGUGGGGAUGACGUCAAAUCAUCAUGCCCCUUAUGACCUGGGCUACACACGUGCUACAAUGGGCAGAACAAAGG